AAUCAUUGACAAUAGGAGAAAGCCUGGCCCAGCCAUUCCAUGUGCGUGAAGUAAGUCUUCGGAUUGGAACCGGCGUCAAGUUGGGGAGACAGCUUGUAAGUUAAUACCUUCCCGUUUCUACCUUUCCUCCAGCUGUAGAACCCUCAACCUUUGUCCCCGCAGCCGCGGUAAUACGGAGGGUGCAAGCGUUAAUCGGAAUUAUGGGGCGUAAAGCGCGCGUAGGUGGUUCAGUAAGAUGGGUGAGAAAUCCCCGGGCUUAACCUGGGAACUGCUUUCAUAACUGCUGAGCUAGAGUACGAUAGAGGGUAGUGGAAUUUCCUGUGUAGCGGUGAAAUGCGUAGAUAUAGGAAGAAACACCAGUGGAGAAGGCGACUACCUGGACUGAUACUGAAUCUGAGGUGCGAAAGCGUGGGGAGAAAAC
This 421-nucleotide ribosomal RNA is filed under the name uncultured bacterium. RNAcentral describes it as "partial 16S ribosomal RNA". It matches the Rfam family "Bacterial small subunit ribosomal RNA", at positions 360 to 773 of the family's 1533-position model. The record is from RNAcentral.